GAUGAACGCUGGCGGCGUGCCUAAUACAUGCAAGUCGAACGGACGGACGAUGAGCUUGCUUCGCUGAUGUUAGCGGCGCACGGGUGAGUAACACGUGUAUAACCUACCUAUAAGACUGGUAUAACUUCGGGAAUGCGGAGCUAAUACCGUAUGAUAUUUUGAACCGCGUGGUUCAAAAGUGAGAGACGGUCUUGCGGUCACGUAUAGAGGGAUCCGCGCUGCAUUAGCUAGUUGGGCAGUUAACGGGUUACCAAGGCAACGAGGCAUAGCCGACGUGAGUGGCUGAUAGGCGACAUGGGAGCGGAGCCACGGUCAAGAGUACUAAGGGAGGGAGCAGUAGGGAAUCUUACGCAAUAGGGGGAAGUAUUGCGGAGUAACGCCGAGUGAGUGAUGAAGGUGUUCGGAUCGUAAUACUCUGUUAUGAGGUAAGAACAGAUGUGUAAGUAAAUGUGGACAUCUUGACGGUAAUUAAUAAGAAAGCCACGGCUAACUACGUG
Molecule: ribosomal RNA, 497 nt
Filed under: uncultured bacterium
Lineage: Bacteria
Description: partial 16S ribosomal RNA
Rfam family: Bacterial small subunit ribosomal RNA
Source: RNAcentral